RNAcentral lists this ribosomal RNA (427 nucleotides) under uncultured bacterium. RNAcentral's name for it is "partial 16S ribosomal RNA". It matches the Rfam family "Bacterial small subunit ribosomal RNA", at positions 355 to 774 of the family's 1533-position model. The record is from RNAcentral.
UGGGGAAUAUUGGACAAUGGGCGAAAGCCUGAUCCAGCCAUGCCGCGUGUGUGAAGAACGUCUUAGGAUUGUACAGCAUUAUAAGUUGGGAGGAAGGGCAUUAACCUAAUACGUUAGUGUUUUGACGUUACCGACAGAAUAAGCACCGGCUAACUCUGUGCCAGCAGCCGCGGUAAUACAGAGGGUGCAAGCGUUAAUCGGAAUUACUGGGCGUAAAGCGCGCGUAGGUGGUUUGUUAAGUUGGAUGUGAAAUCCCCGGGCUCAACCUGGGAACUGCAUUCAAAACUGACUGACUAGAGUAUGGUAGAGGGUGGUGGAAUUUCCUGUGUAGCGGUGAAAUGCGUAGAUAUAGGAAGGAACACCAGUGGCGAAGGCGACCACCUGGACUAAUACUGACACUGAGGUGCGAAAGCGUGGGGAGCAAACA